GACUUGCAAUCAAGAAUCUAAUCUCUAUGAUAGCAAAGAAUCAAAAGAUAGUAUCACCCUCUUUAUUAGAUUUGGUUUCAACAGAGAAGAAACUCCGAUAUAUACCAACGGUCUACGAUUCAGGUGAUAGAUGAGUGUCAGGCGCAUGGAAGGCCGGCGGUUGGUGCCCCGAACGGUGGUGGUGGCGCGCGUGAUGGCUAAGGCUAAGGGGAGUGGCGGCUGAAAACUUGGUGACUAGGGUUUUUUUGGCUGCUGAAAAUGUUUAGUUUGUUGGGCUAGGUGGGCUUUAGGUUUUUUAUUAUCUAGGUCAUUUGAUGUGGAUUGGGCCUGCUGUUUGGGUUCUGUAAUUGUUUUAUUUGGUUUUGGGCCGGGCAUAAUUUAGGCUAUACAAUCAUAAUUCUUAUAUUGGUAGAAUCCAUUGCAUAGCUGACUUCCAAGAUGGUAGAUUUCAUUGGGGGGGGGGUGACCAUUUGAUAGUGAUUAGUUAGUGACAAAAGUGUAACCAAAAUUUCAACUUAGCACUGAAUGUUUAAAAAUUCACAAUUUAGUACUUGAAA
Molecule: long non-coding RNA, 557 nt
Organism: Gossypium arboreum
Lineage: Eukaryota; Viridiplantae; Streptophyta; Magnoliopsida; Malvales; Malvaceae
Exons: 2
Source: RefSeq, a predicted model, not a curated record